CUUGGUCAUUUAGAGGAAGUAAAAGUCGUAACAAGGUCUCCGUAGGUGAACCUGCGAGAGGAUCAAUAUCGAACCUGGCCCCUGGCCACGUCUACCUUGCAACCGUGGAAGCGAACCGUGCUUCGGCGCCUCGGCGUCUAGUUUAUGCUGCAGUUGGUAGUUUGCGUCUGAAUCAAACCGAAGAACAUAAAACUUUCAACAGAGGAUCUCUUGGCUCAAGUAUCGAUGAAGAACGCAGCAAAGCGCGAAAUGUAGUGAACAUAGCAGCACAAUUGUGAAUCAUCGAAUCUUUGAACGCACAUUGCGCCUCCGGUAGCUCGGAGGCAUGCCUGUCUGAGCGUCAUUUUAAACAUGGACCCAGGAUUGGUCCGUAUUGGCGUCGCCCCCCUUUUCAGAGUGCGCGUGCCUCAAGACAUUGGUCUCACAUGCGGACGAGCUCCCUGGGACAGACCGCGUGGAGACCCUAAGCAUCUGACUUUGAUCUCAGAUCAGGUAGGACUACCGCUGAACUUAAGCAUAUCAAUAAGCGGAGGA
Molecule: ribosomal RNA, 534 nt
Filed under: uncultured Ascomycota
Lineage: Eukaryota; Fungi; Ascomycota
Description: eukaryotic LSU rRNA
Rfam family: 5.8S ribosomal RNA (bases 191-343)
Source: RNAcentral